Molecule: long non-coding RNA, 1785 nt
Filed under: Citrus maxima (pomelo)
Lineage: Eukaryota; Viridiplantae; Streptophyta; Magnoliopsida; Sapindales; Rutaceae
Description: long non-coding RNA (CMAX_LNC000763)
Source: RNAcentral
AUCGGUGUACCAUGUCUUUAGAUCGACGAGGAACGGUGGGUAGAAAUUGACGGGGAGGCAGGUCUGGGCGUCGAUCAACGGCACUGCCAACGCGAUUGCGACGAAGAAUACAAACAGUAUUGCAUCUAUUAACUUUACAAAAGCUCCCAUUUUUAAUUUUAAUCUCUGAUGUGAUUUCUGAUGGGGUAAGUGAGUGAAAGAGUGAAAAGGGGAUCUUCCAAGAACAUUGUCCUUGACUUCUUACAUAUAAGGGAGUACCGGUUUGAAACGACACGUCGUCGUUUUGGAUGGGAUCGGUUUAUUGUUCUCUUAUUUUUUUAUUUUUAAUUUUUUUUUAUACUUUGUUUAGUUUUUAUAUUAUAUUUAUUUGAUUCAAGGGCUAAAAAAGUACAAAUUAGUGAGGUAAAAAUAGUAAUGGUAAGGAUACCACUAUUUGGGUCUCAAAUUAAGCCUCAACUGAUGUAGUAUUGCCACAUCAACUAUAUCAUUAAUAUUUAUUAGUUUUAGAUUAAUUAUAAUUUUACCCCUCUAUUACAUGAAUUUACUUCUCUAUUAUAUGAAUUUUAUUUUUCACCUCCAACAAAUCUCAGCUUACAAUAUCCCUAAUAUUCCCAUAAAACCUAGCCGCAAUCCAAACUUAUUCAACAAAUAGAAUUCUAAGAUUUUUUUUUUUUAAGUUAUGAUGCUUGCUAAUGUAUAAUCUUUUAUAUGCUUUAUAGGUUGUUUCAGUUCUACAAAUUGUAUGAAAAACUGGUGGGGCUUGAAGUUAUCAAAAGAACCUCACAUAAAGAUGAUCAAAGGGUAUUGAAAUUUUUGUUAGGUUGAUUCUUAAACUACCACUUUAGGUACUGCUUAAUUCUUUUAUCAUUCUAAUUUAUGCAUGUAUUUUUAUUUUAGAUUUUAUUUUCAGACCUUAAAUUCAUGUUUUUGAUAACAAAUAAUUAAAUAUUUUUGGUUAAGAUUCAAUGUGUUGCUGAAAUAUUUCAUAUUAUUUGUUUUGGACUUUUUACUUCUCUGAACUUUUGAAAGUGAAAAAUGUAUCCUAAUUCAGUUUAAUUAUGUUGCUAAUAAAAUAACUUUUAUCAUUUGAUAACAUGGUCCAUUGGUUGCUGACAAACUAAGCUGAAACUAUAAUUUAUAGGAUUAAAAAAAAAAUUGUUUCUCAUUUCAUCUUUCAAUAUAAAUGGUGGUUAUGGUUGCAACUUUUAGUUUCUUCCAUUGUGAUUGAAUUAUAUUCUCUCACUUGUUUUCCCUCAAAAUCUAGAAUUGUACCUCUUGAUUAUGCACUAGAAUUUAAAGCUAGAAUUGUGCAUUAGGAAAAAUAAUUUCAAUUGCCUUUUGCAUAGCCUCUUGAUUCUAUUUAUUGAAUAAGAUUCUACAAUUGUGCAUAAUAAAGCGGUUAUAAAGACUUUGAAGCUAGGAUUGCACCUCUUGAUGUGCAUUAUCUUGCUUUAACAUUUUUUUUUUUUUUAUCAUUCAUCACUAUCAUACAAUAUUCAACUUGGUAAUUUUUACAGGCACUGGAGAAGUACAAGUUUUCCUUAUGAUUGAAAAAUGCCAACAUUAUUUGGAUGUAAUGCUUCUAGUCAAUUGUUGUCAUGAGAAAUUAUUUUAAGAUUUGGCCUAUGCUACUUUUGAUGUUAUUUCACUGGAUCUAGCAUAUUAAUGUCUUCAUUGUAAUUGUGUUGGAGGUGUUUAGUUAUCAACUUUUAACACCAAGUCCUGUAUUUCCUACGUACUCUUGGGAUUUAAUUCAUUUUUUUAUUACUUAACAUUUGUUGGCUA